RNAcentral lists this ribosomal RNA (1460 nucleotides) under uncultured bacterium. RNAcentral describes it as "bacterial SSU rRNA". It matches the Rfam family "Bacterial small subunit ribosomal RNA". The record is from RNAcentral.
GAGUUUGAUCCUGGCUCAGAACAAACGCUGGCGGCAUGCUUAACACAUGCAAGUCGAACGAAAAAUAUUUGUGAGCUUGCUUACGAAUAUUUUUAGUGGCAGACGGGUGAGUAACACGUGGGAAUCUACCCAUUAGUACGGAAUAACUUCUGGAAACGGAAGCUAAUACCGUAUAUUCUCUACGGAGGAAAGAUUUAUCGCUAAUGGAUGAGUCCGCGCUAGAUUAGGUAGUUGGUAGAGUAAAAGCCUACCAAGCCUACGAUCUAUAGCUGAUUUGAGAGGAUGAUCAGCCACACUGGAACUGAGAUACGGUCCAGACUCCUACGGGAGGCAGCAGUGAGGAAUAUUGGACAAUGGGCGAAAGCCUGAUCCAGCAAUGCCGCAUGAGUGAAGAAGGCCCUAGGGUUGUAAAGCUCUUUCAGUGGGGAAGAUAAUGACGGUACCCACAGAAGAAGUCCCGGCUAACUCCGUGCCAGCAGCCGCGGUAAUACGGAGGGGGCUAGCGUUGUUCGGAAUUACUGGGCGUAAAGGGCGCGUAGGUGGUCUGAUAAGUUGGGAGUGAAAGCCCGAAGCUUAACUUCGGAACUGCUUCCAAAACUGUUAGACUAGAGUGUGAUAGGGGAUAAUGGAAUUCCUAGUGUAGAGGUGAAAUUCUUAGAUAUUAGGAGGAACACCGAAGGCGAAAGCAGUUAUCUGGAGCAACACUGACACUGAGGCGCGAAAGCGUGGGGAGCAAACAGGAUUAGAUACCCUGGUAGUCCACGCCCUAAACGAUGAGUGCUAGGUAUUGGGAAUUUAUUCUCAGUUCCGUAGCUAACGUAUUAAGCACUCCGCCUGGGGAGUACGGUCGCAAGAUUAAAACUCAAAGGAAUUGACGGGGACCCGCACAAGCGGUGGAGCAUGCGGUUUAAUUCGAUACUACGCGAAGAACCUUACCAACUUUUGACAUGUUAAUCGUCGGUAUAGAGAUAUACUUUCAGUUCGGCUGGAUUAACACAGGUGUUGCAUGGCCGUCGUCAGCUCGUGUCGUGAGAUGUUGGGUUAAGUCCCGCAACGAGCGCAACCCCUAUUCUUAUUUGCCAGCGAAUAAUGUCGGGGACUAUAAGAAAACUGCCAGCGAUAAGUUGGAGGAAGGUGGGGAUGAGGUCAGGUCAUCAUGGCCCUUAUAAGUUGGGCUACACGCGUGCUACAAUGGCACCUAUAGAGAGAGGCAAUACGGCGACGUGGAGCAAAUCUUCAAAAGGUGUCUCAGUGCGGAUUGCACUCUGCAACUCGAGUGCAUGAAGUUGAAAUCGCUAGUAAUCGCGGAUCAGAAUGCCGCGGUGAAUACGUUCCCGGGUCUUGUACACACUGCCCGUCAAGCCACGGAAGUUGGUGUUACCUUAAGGCAGUGAGCUAACGUAAGAGGCAGCUGUUCACGGUAAAAUCGGUAACUGGGGUUAAGUCGUAACAAGGUAACC